This 459-nucleotide ribosomal RNA is filed under the name uncultured bacterium. Its description in RNAcentral is "partial 16S ribosomal RNA". It matches the Rfam family "Bacterial small subunit ribosomal RNA", at positions 338 to 795 of the family's 1533-position model. The record is from RNAcentral.
CCUACGGGAGGCAGCAGUGAGGAAUAUUGGUCAAUGGACGGAAGUCUGACCAGCCAUGCCGCGUGCAGGAAGACGGCUCUAUGAGUUGUAAACUGCUUUUGUAAAAGGGUAAACCUGGAUACGUGUAAUCAGGUGGAAGUACUGUACGAAUAAGGAUCGGCUAACUCCGUGCCAGCAGCCGCGGUAAUACGGAGGAUCCAAGCGUUAUCCGGAUUUAUUGGGUUUAAAGGGUGCGUAGGCGGAUUGAUAAGGUAGAGGUGAAAUGUCCGAGCUUAACUCGGGAACUGCCUCUAAUACUGUUGAUCUAGAGAGUAGAUGCGGUAGGCGGAAUGUAUGGUGUAGCGGUGAAAUGCUUAGAGAUCAUACAGAACACCGAUUGCGAAGGCAGCUUACCAAUCUAUAUCUGACGUUGAGGCACGAAAGCGUGGGGAGCAAACAGGAUUAGAUACCCGAGUAGUC